CCUACGGGCGGCUGCAGUGGGGACUAUUGGACAAUGGGGGGAACCCUGAUCCAGCCAUGCCGCGUGUGUGAAGAAGGCCCUCGGGUUGUAAAGCACUUUCAGUGAGGAAGAACGCCUGGUGGUUAAUACCCAUCAGGAAAGACAUCACUCACAGAAGAAGCACCGGCUAACUCCGUGCCAGCAGCCGCGGUAAUACGGAGGGUGCGAGCGUUAAUCGGAAUUACUGGGCGUAAAGCGCGCGUAGGUGGCUUGAUAAGCCGGUUGUGAAAGCCCCGGGCUCAACCUGGGAACGGCAUCCGGAACUGUCAAGCUAGAGUGCAGGAGAGGAAGGUAGAAUUCCCGGUGUAGCGGUGAAAUGCGUAGAGAUCGGGAGGAAUACCAGUGGCGAAGGCGGCCUUCUGGACUGACACUGACACUGAGGUGCGAAAGCGUGGGUAGCAAACAGGAUUAGAUACCCCAGUAGUC
This 465-nucleotide ribosomal RNA is filed under the name Vreelandella stevensii. Its description in RNAcentral is "partial 16S ribosomal RNA". It matches the Rfam family "Bacterial small subunit ribosomal RNA", at positions 338 to 795 of the family's 1533-position model. Lineage: Bacteria; Pseudomonadati; Pseudomonadota; Gammaproteobacteria; Oceanospirillales; Halomonadaceae. The record is from RNAcentral.